RNAcentral lists this ribosomal RNA (503 nucleotides) under uncultured soil bacterium. RNAcentral's name for it is "bacterial SSU rRNA". It matches the Rfam family "Bacterial small subunit ribosomal RNA", at positions 26 to 517 of the family's 1533-position model. The record is from RNAcentral.
AGAGUGAACGCUGGCGGUAGGCCUAACACAUGCAAGUCGAACGGCAGCACGGUAAGAGCUUGCUCUUAUGGGUGGCGAGUGGCGGACGGGUGAGGAAUACAUCGGAAUCUACCUUUUGGUGGGGGAUAACGUAGGGAAACUUACGCUAAUACCGCAUACGCCCUUCGGGGGAAAGCCGGGGACCAGCAAUGGCCUGGCGCUGAUAGAUGAGCCGAUGUCGGAUUAGCUAGUUGGUGAGGUAAUGGCUCACCAAGGCGACGAUCCGUAGCUGGUCUGAGAGGAUGAUCAGCCACACUGGAACUGAGACACGGUCCAGACUCCUACGGGAGGCAGCAGUGGGGAAUAUUGGACAAUGGGCGCAAGCCUGAUCCAGCCAUACCGCGUGGUGAAGAAGGCCUUCGGGUUGUAAAGCCCUUUUGUUGGAAAGAAAGCGAAUUCGGUUAAUACCCGGUGUUCUGACGUACCAAAGAAUAAGACACCGGCUAACUUCGUGCCAGCAGCCG